Molecule: long non-coding RNA, 268 nt
Organism: Telopea speciosissima
Lineage: Eukaryota; Viridiplantae; Streptophyta; Magnoliopsida; Proteales; Proteaceae
Exons: 3
Source: RefSeq, a predicted model, not a curated record
AAUUGAACUCUUUGACUUUGGUACUCCACAAAGCAAGACACUGUUCGUAUUCUAGGAUGCAAAAUCUUGACCAGAUUCAUUCAUAGUCAGGUAGAUGGAAGUUAUGCUCAAAAUAUUAAGAAAUUGGUUCCUAGAGUAUGCAUGCUUGCACGUGAGCCUGGGGAGGAAUAUAGCAAGUGCUGUUUGAGGGCAUCAAGUUUGCAAUGCCUUUCAGCCAUGGUGUGGUUUAUGGCAGAUUUUUCACAUGUUCUUGAUGGUUUUGAUGAGG